GAUGAACGCUGGCGGCGUGCUUAACACAUGCAAGUCGAACGGUGAAGCAGGAGCUUGCUCUUGUGGAUCAGUGGCGAACGGGUGAGUAACACGUGAGCAACCUGCCCCUGACUCUGGAAUAAGCGCUGGAAACGGCGUCUAAUACUGGAUAUGUGAUGUGACCGCAUGGUCUGCAUCUGGCAAGAAUUUCGGUUUGUGAUGGGCUCGCGGCCUAUCAGCUUGUUGGUGAGGUAAUGGCUCACCAAGGCUGCGACGGGUAGCCGGCCUGAGAGGGUGACCGGCCACACUGGACCUGAGACACGGCCCAGACUCCUACGGGAGGCAGCAGUGGGGAAUAUUGCACAAUGGGCGGAAGCCUGAUGCAGCAACGCCGCGUGAGGGAUGACGGCCUUCGGGUUGUAAACCUCUUUUAGCAGGGAAGAAGCGAAAGUGACGGUACCUGCAGAAAAAGCACCGGCUAACUACGUGCCAGCAGCCGCCGUAA
RNAcentral lists this ribosomal RNA (484 nucleotides) under uncultured bacterium. RNAcentral's name for it is "partial 16S ribosomal RNA". It matches the Rfam family "Bacterial small subunit ribosomal RNA", at positions 28 to 523 of the family's 1533-position model. The record is from RNAcentral.